GCUGGCGGCGUGCUUAACACGAUGCAAGUCGACGGAAAGGCCCUUCGGGGUACUCGAGUGGCGAACGGGUGAGUAACACGUGGGUGAUCUGCCCUGCACUUUGGGAUAAGCCUGGGAAACUGGGUCUAAUACCGGAUAGGACUACGGCCUGCAUGGGUUGUGGUGGAAAGCUUUUGCGGUGUGGGAUGGGCCCGCGGCCUAUCAGCUUGUUGUGGGGUGAUGGCCUACCAAGGCGACGACGGGUAGCCGGCCUGAGAGGGUGACCGGCCACACUGGGACUGAGAUACGGCCCAGACUCCUACGGGAGGCAGCAGUGGGGAAUAUUGCACAAUGGCGCAAGCCUGAUGCAGCGACGCCGCGUGGGGAUGACGGCCUUCGGGUUGUAAACCUCUUUCAGUAGGGACGAAGCGUAAGUGACGGUACCUAUAGAAGAAGCACCGGCCAACUACGUG
Molecule: ribosomal RNA, 452 nt
Filed under: uncultured bacterium
Lineage: Bacteria
Description: bacterial SSU rRNA
Rfam family: Bacterial small subunit ribosomal RNA
Source: RNAcentral